UACAGAGGGGACAAGCGUUGUUCGGAAUUACUGGGCGUAAAGGGCGCGUAGGCGGCCUUCUAAGUCGAACGUGAAAUCCCCGGGCUCAACCCGGGAACUGCGUCCGAUACUGGAAGGCUUGAAUCCGGGAGAGGGAUGCGGAAUUCCAGGUGUAGCGGUGAAAUGCGUAGAUAUCUGGAGGAACACCGGUGGCGAAGGCGGCAUCCUGGACCGGCAUUGACGCUGAGGAGCGAAAGCCAGGGGAGCAAACGGG
Molecule: ribosomal RNA, 253 nt
Filed under: uncultured bacterium
Lineage: Bacteria
Description: partial 16S ribosomal RNA
Rfam family: Bacterial small subunit ribosomal RNA
Source: RNAcentral